Peromyscus californicus insignis is the source of this 1464-nucleotide long non-coding RNA. RefSeq lists it as uncharacterized. The record is from RefSeq and is a predicted model, not a curated record. The transcript is spliced from 3 exons. NCBI's taxonomy places the organism in Eukaryota, Metazoa, Chordata, Mammalia, Rodentia, Cricetidae.
UUUGUCACCAAGGCCACCACAAGAAAAACUCCAGUCGGGAGGCCCCUUCCGCUGAAGGACCACCUGACUUCAGUGGCAGCUGGUGGCACGGGGAGCAGGCCUCCAGGGGCCUUUUGGGUAGCCAGGACGCAGUUGCAGGACAUAGGAGAGGCAAAGGUUUAGGUUCAUCAGGUCUGCAGCGCCUGCAGGAUUUCGUAAAAGAAGGGAGUUUGAGAGCAGCACUGAUUGGCAGCUGCGCCAGCGGGCUGGUCCUGGAGCUCAGUAUAGCAAACAGUGCUUUCAUUAGAAUUGUUUUCAGGGAAGGAACUGUACUCCAGCUAGCCCCUUGGCACCCCUCAGGGCUAGUAUUACUUUGAAGUGGUUAUCUGAAAGCCUGAAUCAGGGUUGAGGAAAACAAUAACAACCUGUAGCAAAGUGUCCUGGCUCACUCCUGAAUAACAGCACCAGGGAAGCUGAGACAAGAGAAUCGCCACGAGUUUGCGGCCCCAACACCUGUCUCAAAACAAAGCAAAAAACAAACAAACAAAAAACUCCAACUUGGAAUGAUCACUUCUAGUAAAACCUUUCAACAACUAUCCAUCUAUUAAAAAACACUAACAUUGCCACGCUCUCCUGUCAGGCUCUGGUUCAGGUUAUGGGGAGUGACAUCGAGCAAACUGGAACCACCAGAACUUACUCUAACGGUCGGUCGCUGUCUUGAGAAUAGAGAAGGAUUGUUCUUGUCACAUCUUUUACAAACCAGAAAACUAAGACACGCCUUCUAAUGUGGACCUAAGACAAGUGGCUCUCCAGGAAUCCUCUGUAUCCUCAGGCUAACUAGCUGAAGUAUCUGAACAGCUAAUAGGUUCUCUGGCUCCCCAGGAUGUAGACAGCCACUGCUCAAUGACCCAGACUACAUCAGAUUAGUGCUGCUCUCAACCUUGGUCCCAGAACCUUCUUUCUACAGUGGACAGCAGUCCAUACACAGACCCAACUGAUCAAAGUGCUGAAAACAAGUGAUUGUUGAGUGCUCAGCCUUAACUGAGACAUUCAUAUUAACCAUUGCCUGCCACGCCAACAAGACUCAAGGUUCCAUGUAAGAGCUGGAGGAUGGUAGAAACGCUAUCUUCUGAACAUGCCACCAUUGCACUCAUGAACUCCCAGCAGCUGUGGUUACCUGAACAAGAUCAAUCCAGUCAACGUUACAGCAUGGAUGGGAGAGAGACUCAGAAGGUUCCACCUCCAACUUAGGAGCUGUUGACAGUUGUCGGAUGCUGGGAGAAGAGUCACUUUUCUUCCAGAGUAUGGCUGCUGGUAGAUUGCCCAUGUCCAGUGGUUAGCCCCAAAGCCACGCACAUGCAGGAAACGACACUAGCCAGAAUCAGUGAGCUCUAAAAAAAGGAAGAUAUAAAGGUGGGAGGGAGCUCCAGUGGGGAAAGUGUGAGGAUUGGAUAUGAUCAAGAUAGACUGUAUACAUGUAAGGUA